GUGUCAUUUUACCGUCGCACCGUCUAUCUAUAACACGCGUCAACAAUUAAAAGACGAUUUAGAAGCACAUUUCCUUGGUAAAUGCUUGUACGUUUGAUAGUUGUCAAGUUGGACUGAUGGGUCCUCAAAAGCACGAGUGCUCUGCACAGUCAUUGGCAAAGAGGCUGAAGCGGAUACUUUUAUAUAUUUUUACAUUAUUGUGAUCCUUUUAUUGUUAAAUGUUGUCAUAAUAUGUUAUUUACCAAAAAAAUUAACUUGAUAUCUAAUAUUGUUUUCCAUUUCUUUACCAUUUUUAUCCCAGAGGUACUGGUUUAUGUUUGUGGUUUUUUUGGAUACUUUUAUUACAUUAUUUUUACAUGAUUGUGAUCCUAUUAUUGUUACAUGUUAUCAUACUAUGUUAUUUACCAAGAAAGUAACUUGAUAUCUAGUAUUGUUUAUCAUUUCUUCAGCAAAUUUAUUCCAGAGGUACUGGUUUAUGUUAUAAUUUUUAUGGAUGCUUUUAUAUAUUUUUACAUUAUUGUGAUCCUAUUAUUAGCAAAUGCAUUCGAGAGGUACUAGUACUUGUUUAUGUUCAGUUGUCAUUUUUAUGCCCGCGGAUCGAAUGAUCGGGGCAUAUUGUUUUUGGCCUGUCUGCCUAUCUGUCAUUCUGUCCCAAAACUUACACCUUAGUUAAAGUUUUGUGAUAACUUUUGCAAUAUUUAAGAUAGAAACUUGGAGCUGCACAUUUUGAGUGAUCGAAAGGUCAAGGUCAUCGUUCAAGGUCAAAGGUUAAAAAUAACAAAUCCACAGGAAGUAAUAAGCUUUAAAGGGAGAAAGGUAUCUUGAGUUUAUCAAUAAAUUGCUUGUUUUGAG
Long non-coding RNA from Dreissena polymorpha, 852 nucleotides. RefSeq lists it as uncharacterized. The transcript has 2 exons. The record is from RefSeq and is a predicted model, not a curated record. NCBI's taxonomy places the organism in Eukaryota, Metazoa, Mollusca, Bivalvia, Myida, Dreissenidae.